GACCGUGAUGGCAGCUCGCCACGCCCCGCCUCUUCCCGCCCACUUUGCCUGAAUCCUGCCGGCCCUGUUCCGCAGAUGCACUCCAGAAACUUUUGCAGAGACCCUCACCUCCUGAAGAAAGCUCAGCUGAUCCCCAGGUUCACCUCUCUCUGAACCUUGUGAAGGAGCAACAGACACAACCCGCCCUGUUCCGCACUACAGCCUGCAGACACGUUCUCCCCCACAACAAGUUCUGAUGUCCAUCAGGGGAGAACAGAUUGAUCUGCUGACUGGCCAACCCUGUCUGCCCAAAAUUCCAAAGUUACUUAAAAUGAAAAUUUUCUG
Molecule: long non-coding RNA, 324 nt
Organism: Pungitius pungitius (ninespine stickleback)
Lineage: Eukaryota; Metazoa; Chordata; Actinopteri; Perciformes; Gasterosteidae
Exons: 3
Source: RefSeq, a predicted model, not a curated record